ACCCUCUUUGGCGUCUACCUUGGCCCUAAGCAUUCUUCGAGUCAUCCCUGUCCUCGCACCUCUGCAUUCUUCGGAGUGACUUAGGUUAGUCCUGAAACUUUCGUUUCUCUUCUUGCCAUCUAGGUGCCCUUUCUCCUCUAUUUUUCUUCUGUCGCAUUCCCCUGGUUUGGUCCCCCGCGAACCUUCGCCUCUUAUUUCGCCUGAUUUCUCCGAGAUUUUUAGGGUCCUUGUUUGAAAUGUCUUCUAGCACCUCCGCCUCUAGUGGUUCCAGGAGUUCGUCCGCCUCAGCCCCCC
Molecule: long non-coding RNA, 294 nt
Filed under: Elaeis guineensis (African oil palm)
Lineage: Eukaryota; Viridiplantae; Streptophyta; Magnoliopsida; Arecales; Arecaceae
Description: long non-coding RNA (EGUI_LNC045270)
Source: RNAcentral